Molecule: long non-coding RNA, 1121 nt
Organism: Heterocephalus glaber (naked mole-rat)
Lineage: Eukaryota; Metazoa; Chordata; Mammalia; Rodentia; Bathyergidae
Source: RefSeq, a predicted model, not a curated record
GUCAAGCACUCAGACUUUGGAGUAUGAACUCCACUGAGCCCACUGUCGUAAUAAAGGUUUUUCUCCACCUCUUCAAGUGACCAUCAGAUGCUCGAGUCUUCAAAUUGCAAUAGCUGUGAUGCUGAGCUGUGACACUCUGCUGUAACACUGAGCUCUAACACUUGGCUGUGCCUCAGAGCUGUAACACUUGGCUAUAGCACUGAGCUGUUCUGCUUUGCCACAACACCCAGAGCACUGGGAUUACAGGUGUAGCCCACAUUAGCUCAGAGGGAAUGUUGUAUAUUUUUGGGGGGUACCAGGGUUUGAACUCAGGACCUUGUGCUUGUGAGGCAGGCGGUGGAACCACUGAGCUAAAUCCCCAGCCUGGGAAUGUUGUAUUAAAUCAUCACUGCCAGACCAUCAGUUUUCUCUCUGAAGAUACACACCAGGUCAUGGAGCAGAAGCGGUAAACUCACAGAGGUGCUGAAUGACCAACAAGUGACAAGAACCUGUUGAUGUGAGUAUGUCCGGAAUCUUCCGAUCAGCACCUGUCUGGGUUGCUAUGUAUGUAUCCACGUUGACAGUUCAUGUACUGCAGUGUAUUUAUCACCUCCCUUUCGAAUUGAACUGAGAACUCUAAGCGCCUGAUUUAAACCAUCAGCUGGAGAGCUUGCUGAGGCAGGCACAGCUGAAAGGCUUGGGCUCUGUGGUUGCCGAGCAAGACCUGAGCAGUCAGUCGCCCCUUGAACUGUAGGGCUCUGCACCUUGCUUCCCUAUGCUCACCACUUGUGGUAUUUGGAACUGGAUAGAGCCAGAAAUUCCAAAAAGAAGCCACCUCAGCAAAAUCAACAAUCUGUUUUUCCUUGAAAAUUCAAAGACGCACUAGACAAAUGAGUCCCUCUGAAAAGCUGUCCUUUUGUAAAGGAAAAUGAUAUCUACAAAGAAAAAUGAUCACCAGACAAGGUACCGGGAAGAGAGGCUUCAGACAACUUCUACAGCCUGAAAGCCUUUCAUCUACAAAAAGCAAACUGCUUUAUCCACCGUCCAUUUCCUUCUCUCCCUCUUAUAAUUUGUCUCCAUCUGCCCCAGAAGCCCGGUGCUCUUCCUGCCCUCAGGAUGCUCUAUAAACCUCGGUCAUGGGA